This 314-nucleotide small RNA is filed under the name Histoplasma capsulatum var. duboisii H88. RNAcentral describes it as "Histoplasma capsulatum H88 hypothetical RNA". Lineage: Eukaryota; Fungi; Ascomycota; Eurotiomycetes; Onygenales; Ajellomycetaceae. The record is from RNAcentral.
UAAUACAGUCUGGUUGGAAUCUCUUGGAUACGCUUAUAUUGAUAUCCGACCUCCGAAUCGGGUGUAAGCUGCUCCCAGAGGAAAACAAAGGGAAGCGCCGAGGCGGUAAACAGCACAUUCAACAGUAUGUAGGAAAUGGCGAAAUGCAUGUCAACGGAUCCUUCAGCGCGGGGGCGGGGAUUCAAGAAUUCCCAUAUACAGAGGAGCAUUCCUCAUAGAUACUAGAAGUGUGGGAUUGGAUUCUAAUGUUUGUGACAGAAUAACAACACAACUUCAAAAACGCAUUUUCUGUCUGUUUCCAAAUGAGAAAGGAC